GCCGCCAUAGCUCAGUUGGUAGAGCGACGCUUUCGUAAAGCGUAGGUCCAGGGUUCGAGUCCCCGUGGCGGCU
RNAcentral lists this transfer RNA (73 nucleotides) under Planctomycetaceae bacterium. RNAcentral describes it as "tRNA-Thr". It matches the Rfam family "tRNA". From Rfam's summary of the family: Transfer RNA (tRNA) molecules are approximately 80 nucleotides in length. Their secondary structure includes four short double-helical elements and three loops (D, anti-codon, and T loops). Further hydrogen bonds mediate the characteristic L-shaped molecular structure. tRNAs have two regions of fundamental functional importance: the anti-codon, which is responsible for specific mRNA codon recognition, and the 3' end, to which the tRNAs corresponding amino acid is attached (by aminoacyl-tRNA synthetases). tRNAs cope with the degeneracy of the genetic code in two manners: having more than one tRNA (with a specific anti-codon) for a particular amino acid; and 'wobble' base-pairing, i.e. permitting non-standard base-pairing at the 3rd anti-codon position. The record is from RNAcentral. Lineage: Bacteria; Pseudomonadati; Planctomycetota; Planctomycetia; Planctomycetales; Planctomycetaceae. RNAcentral also lists the same sequence under 3 other names.